UCUCUCUCUCUCUCUCUCUCUCUAUUAGACACAUUAUUUUCUCCGCAAAAAGAACAAAAUUUCUCUAAACUAAAGAAUUUUAAUUAUCUCUGUCUGUCCCUGGCUUAGUUUUGAACAUAUUGGUUCUCUCUCUCUCUCUCUCUUCAAACCAUAGUGUAAUUAUACACCUUUGCUCUUAUGCCAAAACAAAAAACGAUAAAUUUAGCUCAAGUUUCAAAACAAACCCUCUCUCUCCCAAUAUUCAGCAAGUCGCCGUUUAAAAUACAAUUUUUUCAAAAAGUUUCUUAUUUUUAAAAAUACCUUUAGAACUCUGAGUCUUUUAAAAAAUCGUGUUUUUUUAAUGGAACUGAUAUAAAUCCCUAUUUUAUC
Molecule: long non-coding RNA, 369 nt
Filed under: Amborella trichopoda
Lineage: Eukaryota; Viridiplantae; Streptophyta; Magnoliopsida; Amborellales; Amborellaceae
Description: long non-coding RNA (ATRI_LNC000151)
Source: RNAcentral